UACAGAGGGUGCAAGCGUUGUUCGGAAUUACUGGGCGUAAAGCGUGCGCAGGCGGUUCGCCAAGUCAGGUGUGAAAUCCCCGGGCUUAACCUGGGAAUUGCGCUUGAAACUAGCGGGCUUGAGUGUGGCAGAGGGGGGUGGAAUUCCACGUGUAGCAGUGAAAUGCGUAGAGAUGUGGAGGAACACCGAUGGCGAAGGCAGCCCCCUGGGUCAACACUGACGCUCAUGCACGAAAGCGUGGGGAGCAAACAGG
Molecule: ribosomal RNA, 253 nt
Filed under: uncultured bacterium
Lineage: Bacteria
Description: partial 16S ribosomal RNA
Rfam family: Bacterial small subunit ribosomal RNA
Source: RNAcentral